RNAcentral lists this ribosomal RNA (875 nucleotides) under uncultured bacterium. Its description in RNAcentral is "bacterial SSU rRNA". It matches the Rfam family "Bacterial small subunit ribosomal RNA", at positions 8 to 914 of the family's 1533-position model. The record is from RNAcentral.
AGAGUUUGAUCAUGGCUCAGGAUGAACGCUGGCGGCGUGCCUAACACAUGCAAGUCGAGCGAUUCUCUUCGGAGAAGAGCGGCGGACGGGUGAGUAACGCGUGGGUAACCUGCCCUGUACACACGGAUAACAUACCGAAAGGUAUGCUAAUACGGGAUAACAUAUUUUGAUGGCAUCAUCGAAAUAUCAAAGCUCCGGCGGUACAGGAUGGACCCGCGUCUGAUUAGCUAGUUGGUGAGGUAAUGGCUCACCAAGGCGACGAUCAGUAGCCGACCUGAGAGGGUGAUCGGCCACAUUGGAACUGAGACACGGUCCAAACUCCUACGGGAGGCAGCAGUGGGGAAUAUUGCACAAUGGGCGAAAGCCUGAUGCAGCAACGCCGCGUGAGCGAUGAAGGCCUUCGGGUCGUAAAGCUCUGUCCUCAAGGAAGAUAAUGACGGUACUUGAGGAGGAAGCCCCGGCUAACUACGUGCCAGCAGCCACGGUAAUACGUAGGGGGCUAGCGUUAUCCGGAAUUACUGGGCGUAAAGGGUGCGUAGGUGGUUUUUUAAGUCAGAGGUGAAAGGCUACGGCUCAACCGUAGUAAGCCUUUGAAACUGAGAAACUUGAGUGCAGGAGAGGAGAGUAGAAUUCCUAGUGUAGCGGUGAAAUGCGUAGAUAUUAGUAGGAAUACCAGUUGCGAAAGGCGGCUCUCUGGACUGUAACUGACACUGAGGCACGAAAGCGUGGGGAGCAAACAGGAUUAGAUACCCUGGUAGUCCACGCCGUAACGAUGAGUACUAGGUGUCGGGGGUUACCCCCCUCGGUGCCGCAGCUAACGCAUUAAGUACUCCGCCUGGGAAGUACGCUCGCAAGAGUGAAACUCAAGGAAUGAC